GAUCACAGUCCAAGUCCCUCCUGCUCAGCAAUGAGGAGCGAUACCAUGUGAGGACCAACCAAGACAAGAGAUCCAACCCCCUAACCAACCAGCAAAAACAUUUCUUAUACAUCGACUAAAAUAUUGUAGGCCUACAUGCCUACACAUACACUGAGUGUACAAAACACCUAAAAUUGAGUUGCACCCAUUAGGUGUCCUAGCAGGUGCAGGAACCAUAUUGUUUUGUUAGUGUUCUAAUUAUAUUUCCUGGGUCUUCCUCCUUUUGGUCAAUAUCUCCACAACCGUUUGAUAAAAAUAUGUACAAAAUAUAUAUAAAAUAGUAACAAAUGGCAGGUUGGAGAACCCCUACAUUUUGAUCUAGGGAGGGUUUAUUAAUGGCUUACAACUCACCAAUAAAUAGGUUUACAACCGGCCAAGCGGCUAUGUGGGUUAAAGCAUGGUGCUGGCAACACCAGGAGGUUGGAGUUGAUUCCCACAUGGGCCACAUACUGAAUGUAAGUAUCACUGGCAAUUGUAAUAUAAGUCGCUUUAGAUAAAAGCAUCUACCAAUGACCAUAUCAUUAUCAUAUGAUAUCACAAUGUAAAGAACACAAUUCAAUAUCAUUACCAAUAUUUCAAUGUGCAUGAAAAGUGAUAAAGUAGUGGCUGGAACAUUAACAGAA
Long non-coding RNA from Coregonus clupeaformis (lake whitefish), 662 nucleotides. RefSeq lists it as uncharacterized. The record is from RefSeq and is a predicted model, not a curated record. The transcript is spliced from 2 exons. NCBI's taxonomy places the organism in Eukaryota, Metazoa, Chordata, Actinopteri, Salmoniformes, Salmonidae.